GACGAACGCUGGCGGCGUGCUUAACACAUGCAAGUCGAACGGAAAGGCCCUGCUUUUGUGGGGUGCUCGAGUGGCGAACGGGUGAGUAACACGUGAGUAACCUGCCCUUGACUUUGGGAUAACUUCAGGAAACUGGGGCUAAUACCGGAUAGGACCUCCUGCUGCAUGGUGUGGGUUGGAAAGUUUCGUCGGUUGGGGAUGGACUCGCGGCUUAUCAGCUUGUUGGUGGGGUAGUGGCUUACCAAGGCUUUGACGGGUAGCCGGCCUGAGAGGGUGACCGGCCACAUUGGGACUGAGAUACGGCCCAGACUCCUACGGGAGGCAGCAGUGGGGAAUAUGGCACAAUGGGCGGAAGCCUGAGGCAGGAACGCCGCGGGCGGGAUGACGGUCUUCGGUUUGUAAACCGCUUUCGCCUGUGACGAAGCGUGAGUGACGGUAAUUGGUAAAGAAGCACCGGCUAACUACGUG
Molecule: ribosomal RNA, 468 nt
Filed under: uncultured bacterium
Lineage: Bacteria
Description: partial 16S ribosomal RNA
Rfam family: Bacterial small subunit ribosomal RNA
Source: RNAcentral